UGCGCGGUUAUCAGAGGGAGUGAGCCGGCCGAGAGGCGCAUGUGCUAAGGACGGAACGGGCGCCGGAGACUUCUCCCGAAGCCGAUGAACAACCGCAUACGUAGAACGGGGCGGCGGAUUCUGAACCUCGUGUGACUGGAUGUAGGCAGCAAAACCAAUAAAGGCAACAGCCAAUGAAAGAAGGCAGAAGAAGAAGGUGACCAGAGGUGGGUGUCGCUCCAGGCAAACACGUAGGGAGCCCAGCAGGGAGCAGAUGAUCAUGUUCAGCCCUAAGAGAUCAACAUGGAAAAUAUCAUGGCUGGUUUUCACUACAGCUACUUGAAGCAUGAACCCAAGUUUCUGUGAUUGCUGCAAAUGAUCUUCAGUUGUGGUUGGCCUCUUUCAAGCAGCUGUGAUGUGUCCAGGUGACUUCCAAGAUUGCCUUCUCCCGUACAAUUUGCCCCAAAUGCUUAGGUCCUCUGUGGGGAGGCUACUCCAGCCCACCAGAACCCAACUGGCAACUGUCACUCAGAGGACCUUUUCAUCGGCCGCCUUAAGACUGUGAAACGACUUGCCAGAAGAGCUCUGACAGCUAAAUGAGCUGUCGGAAUUUAAAACACAUCUAAGGACCUAUCUCUUCCAGCAGGCCUACCCAGUCAAUUUUAAUCAUGAAUUCUAAAUUGAAAUCUUGUGUUCACUAUAUUUUAUCUUUGUUCUGUGUAUUUUAUAAAAAUACUUUUUAAUAUGUGUAUUUUCUAUAAUGUUUGUGAUGAUUAUGCGUAUUAGGUUAUGUUGUAACGUACCUUAAGCCACAAGGAGAAGCUGGUAAGAAAAUUGCUGUUCUUGUUAUUAUAGUAGCCUACAGUGAUGAGAAAAAGAGGGGCUCUCCUUAGAGCAUUUAGCACCUGAAGGAGUUCAGCUGUAGUAAGGCUGCUAUCUAGUGCAAGAAGCAAAGGGAAUAAGAUAAGUCAGUGGUCUACUGAGAUGGAACAACAUGGUGUGUUUUUGUUAAAUAAUUGUUAAAGUUAUCUGGCUAAGCACUCAAGUACUUUAAUUGUAGAAAAUGGCACAUAAUUUUCAACUAUUCUGUGGUUCCCAUACUUAUGUAGGACACACAUAUUUAAUCACCAUAGAGCUUCUAUUGCAUUUUUCAAUAUUUGGCAAUACUUCUCAUGAAACUGGGUCCCCUUUUACACUGUCAUAUAAUCCAAAUUAUCAAAGCAGUCAAUCCACAUUAUCUUCUUUGAACUAGAUUAUACGAGUCUACACUGCCAUAUAAUUUUCAGUUCAAGGUCAAUUGAUUUUUUUGUGGCAGGGUAGAAGGGGCCUGGGAGGGUCUGCGACAAAUUGGAGAGCAUCCAGGUCAUUAAUGCAAUGGAAGCCAUAUUGAAUCCAUGUAUUUCUGUUCUGCUUUGUUGUCAGUCAUUAAUUUUUUAACAAGUGCUUUGACUGGAAAAUGAACAUUUCUAUGGAAGUAAGAGAAUUAUUCUUUCUUAAAUCAAUGGGCAAUUGAUAUGGAGUCUUUUCUGCCUCUCUGAACUUAAGCCAGAGACCGGCCAUUUAAACACUGCGGUCUGGACCAAAUAAAUUCAUAAAAAUCCUGA
Molecule: long non-coding RNA, 1583 nt
Organism: Anolis carolinensis (green anole)
Lineage: Eukaryota; Metazoa; Chordata; Lepidosauria; Squamata; Anolidae
Exons: 3
Source: RefSeq, a predicted model, not a curated record